GCUGGGCAUGGGGUGCAUGCCUGUAAUCCCAGAGGCUGAGGAGGCUGAGGCAGGAGAAUCCAGAGUUCAAAGCCAGCCUCAGCAACUUAGUGAGGUGCUAAGCAACUCAGUGAGACCCUGUCUCAA
Molecule: small RNA, 126 nt
Filed under: Marmota monax (woodchuck)
Lineage: Eukaryota; Metazoa; Chordata; Mammalia; Rodentia; Sciuridae
Source: RNAcentral